GAUGAACGCUGGCGGCGUGCCUAAUACAUGCAAGUCGAGCGAACGGACGAGAAGCUUGCUUUUCUGAUGUUAGCGGCGGACGGGUGAGUAACACGUGGAUCACCUACUUAUAAGACUGGGAUAACCUCGGGAAACCGGAGCUAAUACCGGAUAAUAUUUUGAACCGCAUGGUUCAAAAGUGAAAGACGGUCUUGCUGUCAUUUAUAGAUGGAUCCGCGCUGCAUUAGCUAGUUGGUAAGGUAACGGCUUACCAAGGCAACUAGGCGUAGCCGACCUGAGAGGGUGGUAGGCGACAUGAGAGCUUGGACACGGUCCAUGGGCCUGCGGUACGCAGCAGUAGGGUAUCUUACGCAGUAGGCGAGAACCUGACGGAGCGAGGCGGCGUGAGUGGUGACGGUGUUCGGAUCGUGAAACUCUGUUAUGAGUGAAGAACAUAUGUGUAAGGAACUGUGCACAUCGUGACGGUAACUAGUCAGAAAGCCACGGCUAACUACGUG
RNAcentral lists this ribosomal RNA (497 nucleotides) under uncultured bacterium. RNAcentral's name for it is "partial 16S ribosomal RNA". It matches the Rfam family "Bacterial small subunit ribosomal RNA", at positions 28 to 507 of the family's 1533-position model. The record is from RNAcentral.